Molecule: unclassified non-coding RNA, 338 nt
Filed under: soil metagenome
Description: partial contains 5.8S ribosomal RNA, internal transcribed spacer 2, and large subunit ribosomal RNA
Rfam family: 5.8S ribosomal RNA (bases 1-120)
Source: RNAcentral
GAUGAAGAACGUAGCGAAAUGCGAUAAGUGAUGUGAAUUGCAGAAUUCAGUGAAUCAUCGAAUCUUUGAACGCACAUUGCGCCCGGCAGUACUCUGCCGGGCAUGCCUGUUCGAGCGUCAUUUCAACCCUCAAGCCCUGCUUGGUGUUGGGGCCCCACGGCUGCCGUGGGCCCUGAAAGGAAGUGGCGGGCUCGCUACAACUCCGAGCGUAGUAAUUCAUUAUCUCGCUUAGGGCGUUGGGCGGCGCUCCAGCCGUUAAAGAACCAUCUUUAACUCAAGGUUGACCUCGGAUCAGGUAGGAAUACCCGCUGAACUUAAGCAUAUCAAUAAGCGGAGGA